UAAUUUGGUUAACGCAGACUGGUUUAUUCAUUGCUUUUUGUAUUAACACUGAAGUAUUUGGUCAAUUAAAAAAAAAGUUGUCAUAUUGCACAUAUUUUGUUAUUAAAAAUUGCAUUUUUGUCAGACACCCGGUUAGGAACUGUGCGGCCCUUAUGUGCGAUAUUUUAUGAAAAUUCGUCAACUUACGACUGCACACACUUCUGUCCUCGAAUAAAUUGCAUUUCAUAAUCACUCAUAAAACAAAGACUCGUAGACUAACUUUUAAUGUACGAUCGGAAAUUGAGGGGAGUAAAAAAAAACACACACUUAAAAAAAAAAAACACGAAUCUGCUCCCUGCUGUCGUCUUAAGUUUGUUUACAUUGCGUCAAACGGACCUUCGUAGUUGUCACUCACAAAGAUGGCGAAAAGGUGAUGACGACUAAACCCAAUGGAGAAACGCUCCAAAGAGCCAUCGGGUCCCCAAUUUAAGAAGAGGAGAAAAGGGCCAAAGAUAAAGGACGGACGGUAUGAUGCUGGCUUCAGGCGUGACGAGGCCAGGCGGUCCGAAAGUGGCCAGCAGCGCCAUGAUUCCGUAAGGCAGCCAGCACAUAAGGUAGCAGAUCACCAUGAUCACCACCAUGAACAAGACUCGCUGCUCCCGUUUCCUGCUCAUCGAUGCGUUGAUCCCACUCACCUGGACACAGCAAGAGUCCAGCCACCACAAACAAAAUCCUGAGUCAAUAGGGUCUCUGCUGACCUGCCAGAGGUCGGCGGCCUUGACCCCGCUCAGGAACACGAGUUGGUCUUGGAUUAUAGAUGACUUGUCAAAGUGCAGCACUGCCGGGCAUCUGCGCGGCACGGCACCAAGUUAUUGUGAGAGCAGCACUCAUCGAGAAUCAUCGAUUCAUCACACGGGACGUGAGUAAUUGACUUAAUUAAGGAAAAAACACUCAAGGCUCUGGUUUGUGUUUCAGCAGAUAUAUUCUUUUUAUUUAAAUCCACUUCGUUUGCGUCGCAUAAAGUCCAGUAGUUAACUCUUUCCGGGACAGGCGUCACCACGGCGGGACAGCAAGACAAGUUGCUCU
This is a long non-coding RNA of Hippocampus zosterae (dwarf seahorse), 1065 nucleotides long. RefSeq lists it as uncharacterized. The record is from RefSeq and is a predicted model, not a curated record. NCBI's taxonomy places the organism in Eukaryota, Metazoa, Chordata, Actinopteri, Syngnathiformes, Syngnathidae. The transcript has 3 exons.